GCAACUCGACUCCAUGAAGUCGGAAUCGCUAGUAAUCGUGGAUCAGAAUGCCACGGUGAAUACGUUCCCGGGCCUUGUACACACCGCCCGUCACACCAUGGGAGUGGGUUGCAAAAGAAGUAGGUAGCUUAACCUUCGGGAGGGCGCUUACCACUUUGUGAUUCAUGACUGGGGUGAAGUCGUAACAAGGUAACCGUAGGGGAACCUGCGGUUGGAUCACCUCCUUA
Molecule: ribosomal RNA, 227 nt
Filed under: Escherichia coli
Lineage: Bacteria; Pseudomonadati; Pseudomonadota; Gammaproteobacteria; Enterobacterales; Enterobacteriaceae
Also listed under: 2 other names
Description: partial 16S ribosomal RNA
Rfam family: Bacterial small subunit ribosomal RNA
Source: RNAcentral